AUCUACCUUCCUGACUGGGAUAACUGGCCGAAAGGCUUGCCAAUACCAGAUAAGAACACGGGGGCUUUGGCCUCCGAGGGAAAAGGUGGCCUCUGCAAGCAAGCUAUCUCAGGGAGAUGAGUCCGCGCCCCAUCAGCUAGUUGGCGGGGUAAAAGCCCACCAAGGCGACGACGGGUAGCUGGUCUGAGAGGAUGAUCAGCCACACUGGAACUGAGACACGGUCCAGACUCCUACGG
This 236-nucleotide ribosomal RNA is filed under the name uncultured Cystobacterineae bacterium. Its description in RNAcentral is "partial 16S ribosomal RNA". It matches the Rfam family "Bacterial small subunit ribosomal RNA", at positions 124 to 344 of the family's 1533-position model. Lineage: Bacteria; Pseudomonadati; Myxococcota; Myxococcia; Myxococcales. The record is from RNAcentral.